CUUUUCUUGUUUUAUUAUAUGAAAUAUAACCUGCCCACUGAAUAAUUUUAAAGGGCCGCAGUAUUUUGACUGUGCAAAGGUAGCAUAAUCAUUAGUCCUUUAAUUGUGGACUGGAAUGAAUGGUUGGACGAGGAAUAUACUGUUUCUUAUUAUUUAUUUGAAUUUAAGCUUUAAGUUAAAAAGCUUAAAUGUUUUUAUGGGACGAGAAGACCCUAUAGAAUUUAUAUAUAUAUUUGUAUACAUGUUGUUUGAUUAUUUAUCAAUAUUUUAGUAUAUAUUUUAUUGGGGUGAUAGGAAGAAUUGAUUAACUCUUUUUUUAUUUAUACAUUUAUUUAUGUUUAUUUGAUCCUUACUUUUUGAUUAUAAGAUUAAAUUACCUUAGGGAUAACAGCGUAAUCUUUUUGGAGAGUUCUUAUCAAUAAAUGGGUUUGCGA
Molecule: ribosomal RNA, 434 nt
Filed under: Protagonista lugubris
Lineage: Eukaryota; Metazoa; Arthropoda; Insecta; Blattodea; Blattidae
Description: partial 16S ribosomal RNA
Source: RNAcentral